GGGGAAUAUUGCACAAUGGGCGAAAGCCUGAUGCAGCGACGCCGCGUGCAGGAUGACGGCCUUAGGGUUGUAAACUGCUUUCGACAGGGACGAAAAUGACGGUACCUGUAGAAGAAGCUCCGGCCAAAUACGUGCCAGCAGCCGCGGUAAUACGUAUGGAGCGAGCGUUGUCCGGAUUUAUUGGGCGUAAAGAGCUCGUAGGUGGUUUGGUAAGUCAGGUGUGAAAACUCCGAGCUCAACUCGGAGACGCCACCUGAUACUGCCAUGACUAGAGUCCGGUAGGGGAGCGUGGAAUUCCUAGUGUAGCGGUGAAAUGCGCAGAUAUUAGGAGGAACACCUAUGGCGAAGGCAGCGCUCUGGGCCGGUACUGACACUGAGGAGCGAAAGCGUGGGUAGCAAAC
This 401-nucleotide ribosomal RNA is filed under the name uncultured bacterium. Its description in RNAcentral is "bacterial SSU rRNA". It matches the Rfam family "Bacterial small subunit ribosomal RNA", at positions 356 to 773 of the family's 1533-position model. The record is from RNAcentral.